Long non-coding RNA from Saccostrea cuccullata (small rock oyster), 270 nucleotides. RefSeq lists it as uncharacterized. NCBI's taxonomy places the organism in Eukaryota, Metazoa, Mollusca, Bivalvia, Ostreida, Ostreidae. The record is from RefSeq and is a predicted model, not a curated record. The transcript is spliced from 3 exons.
UCAUGCACGAGCGCUUUUGAGCUGCUAGACCUAAAAUAGCUUCACCAAGGGAAUGUUCGAUGCAAAGCACUUGAGAUUGAGUCUCUGGUUUUCGUGUCCAUAGCAUUUGUGAGUUCUAAUUCAAGUAGAGAAGCAUGUCGGCCAACAGAGAGGCUCCAAGGGGAAACUACAAGCAUCAUGUCUUAGAAGAACCAUGACUUGAGUGACAGUCAGAGCUGAGAUGAUGCACCAGAUGCAGUGGCACUGUCUCCAUCACUGAUGAAAUGGUAU